Molecule: non-coding RNA, 121 nt
Organism: Picea glauca (white spruce)
Lineage: Eukaryota; Viridiplantae; Streptophyta; Pinopsida; Pinales; Pinaceae
Source: Rfam
ACAUGCCUACAACAUAGUAUUAAUGCAUAGGAUCCCAUUAGAACUCCGCAGUUAAGCGCGCUCAGGCUAGAGUAGUACUAGGAUGGGUGAUCCCCCGAGAAGUCUUAGUAUUUUACAUGCC